UAGGGAAUAUUAGUAAUGGGCGAAAGCCUGAACUAGCAACGCCGCGUAUGCGAAGAAGGCCUUCGGGUUGUAAAGCACUUUUUGAGAGGAUGAGGAAGGACGGUACUCUCAGAAUAAGUCUCGGCUAACUACGUGCCAGCAGCCGCGGUAACACGUAGGAGGCGAACGUUACCCGGAUUUACUGGGCGUAAAGCGCGUGUAGGUGGUUUGGUAAGUAGGGCGUGAAAGCUCCUGGCUCAACUGGGAGAGGCCGUUCUAAACUGCCGAACUAGAGGAUGGUGGAGGGAGGUGGAAUUCCGGGUGUAGCGGUGGAAUGCGCAGAUAUCCGGAGGAACACCAGUGGCGAAAGCGGCCUCCUGGACCAUUCCUGACACUCAGACGCGAAAGCUAGGGUAGCAAACGG
RNAcentral lists this ribosomal RNA (403 nucleotides) under uncultured bacterium. Its description in RNAcentral is "bacterial SSU rRNA". It matches the Rfam family "Bacterial small subunit ribosomal RNA", at positions 355 to 775 of the family's 1533-position model. The record is from RNAcentral.